RNAcentral lists this long non-coding RNA (1314 nucleotides) under Mus musculus (house mouse). RNAcentral's name for it is "long non-coding RNA chr8:125897913-125899227". Lineage: Eukaryota; Metazoa; Chordata; Mammalia; Rodentia; Muridae. The record is from RNAcentral.
AAACUGGGGACUCACCAGGUGCAGAGCCAGUGGCAGCAAGAGCAGGAACAGCCACAGGUAGAGGUGGCAGCUAUUGGUGAAUUUGCUAUGCUCCGGGUCGUGGUACCAGCCCCCUGUGAGAGCGGCCCACACACCCUGCCUGAGCAGCUGCAGCACCUGGGACGCCAUGCCCGCAGAGUCCGGCAGAAACCGAGCGUGCCCUGGGGCUCAGCACCCUAAGCUCAGCACCCUGGAGCUCAGUACGUCGGCGCGUGCCGGUGUGCUCCAGGCGCGGUCCCACCCCCGCCGCCACCGCCCAAACCGCGGUAGACGCUGAACAGUACGGACCGGCACAGCGCGGUGCUGGAGCCGGCUGGGGCUGCCAGGCAGGUGCGCGCCAUGUCCAAGGGAAGGAGGAUUUUCCCAUCAUGCUCUGCGAUGGCUGCUCAAGGAUGCUCCGGCGGCUCCGCCCUGCGCCCACACAAGUCUGCGAAGGAGCUCAGUCCCUCCCUCUCCUUGGUGGCUGGAGCUCCACCUGCCUUUUCUCCUGAAUCUCCCAAGAGUAAGUUUGCAAGGUGUGAGAACCAAGAAUGUUCCCGUGUGAGGACCACAGACAGGAAACUUCUUGGCUUUUGUUUUUGUUUUGUCUCCUGCCCCAAAAGGUUUGUAUAAUCUGGAGGCCUAGGCUUGCGGUACUCAAAGCGAUGUCCUCUGAGCUCCACCUGCGGGGCUUUGAUCCCUGUGACCUUGGUUGGCUACAGACUAGAGGCUCUAAAGUUUCAUGUGCGACAUGGUCUGCUCCCACUGACCUCUUUCCACCCUGACUUUUCUCCUCCACCCCCGAUUACCUAAUUGGACGCACAGAAAUGAUAACCGCCGUUCUGAAAUAAUCGUUGGAGCCUCAGUUAACCACACAUUUUUACCUUACAUUGUUUUAUCUUACUGAUAAGGCACGGUCUCACUCUGUAGACUGAAUUGGCUUGGAAGGGAUUAUGUAGCUCGGGCUGGCCUGAAAAUUCAUGGCAAUUCUCUAUAGAGUAUUGAGAUUAUGAGCAUAAGCAACUACAUCCAGCUUUCUUUCUUCUUAUAUAUUUCCUGAACAUAAUCUGGGAUAGCAAUCUACCAUUUCAACCAGGAGGAGAGGGGGGCGGGGAAGGGCGGGGGAAGAAGGGAGGAGAGAAAAAAAAGAGAAGAACAGAUUUUGAUUGCGGCGCUAGGUGGCGCUAGAUCGCUGCUAGAACAGAGUAAAGCCCAUUCUUGAUAUUGCCAAACCAGCAAUGAAUCCUAACCCUGAUUAAUAAGCAGGGAUAAUCCAAUACAGCAGAAAGCUUGUUC